Molecule: long non-coding RNA, 734 nt
Organism: Arvicola amphibius (Eurasian water vole)
Lineage: Eukaryota; Metazoa; Chordata; Mammalia; Rodentia; Cricetidae
Exons: 3
Source: RefSeq, a predicted model, not a curated record
CGUGUUGUGAGCAACACACACACACACACACACACACACACACACACACACGUAACAAAAAAUCAGACAGAAGACCCUUUGGUACUCGGUUGUCACAGGUGCUCCAGGCAGAGGAAAGAUGGUGAGACGGAGAUGGCUCGGCGUGGAAGGGCGUUUGUCACCAAGACCAACAACCUAAAUUCCAUCCGUGGAACAUACAUGGUUGGGGGACAGAACUGACUCCUCUUCCCAUCAUUGGCAAAGAAAUGCAGUGUUGGACCGUAUAGAAAGUGAGUCACAGGAGCCAUGGUGCCAGAAGUCCCUGAAGAGAGAGAGAUGGAAUAACCUGGACGGAUGCAUGCAAAUCACCUGCUAUCAUCACCUGGUGGCGAAAUACCAUCCUUGGUAACUGUGACUCAGAAAUUCGCUAAUGACACGGGCAGCGGCUGUGACCUCAAUCCUGCCCUCACUGACGGAGACUAACGCAAGCACGCUGCAGCUGAUAAGUCUCUCUGGAAUCUGAACCCCAGCCUACCCUGCUGCCCCGUGUCCCCGGACAAGCCCAUUUAUGGAGGCGAGAGCUCACAGCCUCCUCGCAGUGUGCUUUUGAGCUGGGUUCCCACCAGCAGGCUGAUAGUUUUUAUAGACUUCACAGAAUCUAAUGAUCAAUUCAUUUUCCCACUUUCAUUUGUCAAAGGCAUUUUCAUCUGCCAAUCAGAACAUCUAAUCAGAGAGAGGCGUUCAGAGUCACCCCA